GAUGAAGAACGUAGCGAAAUGCGAUAAGUAAUGUGAAUUGCAGAAUUCAGUGAAUCAUCGAAUCUUUGAACGCACCUUGCGCCCUUUGGCCAUUCCGAAGGGCAUGCCUGUUUGAGUAUCAUGAACACCUCAACUCUUUAUGGUUUUCCAUGAUGAGCUUGGACUCUGGGGGUUUUGCUGGCUCACAGUCGGCUCCUCUAAAAUGAAUCAGCUUACCAGUGUUUGGUGGGUAUCAUGGGUGUGAUAACUAUCUACGCUUGUGGUUUUUCCACCAGGUAACCUUCAGCAGUGGAGGUUCGCUGGAGCUCAUAGAUGUCUCUCCUCAGUGAGGACAGCCCUUUGAAUGUUUGAUCUCAAAUCAGGUAGGACUACCCGCUGAACUUAAGCAUAUCAUAACGGAGGA
Molecule: unclassified non-coding RNA, 403 nt
Filed under: soil metagenome
Description: partial contains 5.8S ribosomal RNA, internal transcribed spacer 2, and large subunit ribosomal RNA
Rfam family: 5.8S ribosomal RNA (bases 1-121)
Source: RNAcentral